This 79-nucleotide transfer RNA is filed under the name Enterococcus faecalis PC1.1. Its description in RNAcentral is "tRNA-Arg". It matches the Rfam family "tRNA". From Rfam's summary of the family: Transfer RNA (tRNA) molecules are approximately 80 nucleotides in length. Their secondary structure includes four short double-helical elements and three loops (D, anti-codon, and T loops). The record is from RNAcentral. Lineage: Bacteria; Bacillati; Bacillota; Bacilli; Lactobacillales; Enterococcaceae.
UGUUCUCGUAGCUCAGUAGGAUAGAGCAACCGCCUCCUAAGCGGUAGGUCGCUGGUUCAAUUCCAGUCGGGAACGUAAA